CCUACGGGAGGCAGCAGUGAGGAAUAUUGGUCAAUGGCCGGAAGGCUGAACCAGCCAUGCCGCGUGAAGGUCAGUGCCCUAUGGGCGUUAAACUUCUUUUGUGCGGGAGCAAUAAUGGUCACGUAUGGCCAGACGAGAGUACCGUACGAAUAAGCAUCGGCUAACUACGUGCCAGCAGCCGCGGUAAUACGGGGGAUGCAAGCGUUAUCCGGAUUUAUUGGGGGUAAAGGGUGCGUAGGGUGGGAGGUAAGUCAGCGGUGAAAUGCCACCGCUCAAAGGGGUGAAGUGCCAUUGAAACUGCCUUGCUGGAAUGCGGGUGCCGUGGGAGGAAUGUGUGGUGUAGCGGUGAAAUGCAUAGAGAUCACACAGAACACCGAUUGCGAAGGCAUCUCACGAAUCCGCGAUUGACGCUGAUGCACGAAAGCGUGGGUAUCAAACAGGAUUAGAUACCCGAGUAGUC
This 460-nucleotide ribosomal RNA is filed under the name uncultured bacterium. Its description in RNAcentral is "partial 16S ribosomal RNA". It matches the Rfam family "Bacterial small subunit ribosomal RNA", at positions 338 to 795 of the family's 1533-position model. The record is from RNAcentral.